RNAcentral lists this ribosomal RNA (334 nucleotides) under uncultured bacterium. RNAcentral's name for it is "bacterial SSU rRNA". It matches the Rfam family "Bacterial small subunit ribosomal RNA", at positions 335 to 662 of the family's 1533-position model. The record is from RNAcentral.
ACUCCUACGGGAGGCAGCAGUGGGGAAUAUUGCACAAUGGGCGCAAGCCUGAUGCAGCCAUGCCGCGUGUGUGAAGAAGGCCUUGGUUGUAAAGCACUUUCAGCAGUGAGGAAGGCGGAGUCGUUAAUAGCGGCCUCGUUGUACGUUAGCUGCAGAAGAAGCACCGGCUAACUCCGUGCCAGCAGCCGCGGUAAUACGGAGGGUGCGAGCGUUAAUCGGAAUUACUGGGCGUAAAGCGCAUGCAGGUGGUUUGUUAAGUUCAGAUGUGAAAGCCCGGGGCUCAACCUCGGAAUAGCAUUUGAAACUGGCAGACUAGAGUACUGUAGAGGGGGUA